AAUGAGCGUUGGCGGCGUGGAUUAGGCAUGCAAGUCGUGCGAUAACCCCGCAAGGGGGGAAAGCGGCGAAAGGGAGAGUAACGCGUGGGUACCUGCCCCUUGGUCCGGAAUAGCUGCGGGAAACUGCAGGUAAUGCCGGAUAAUAUCCUCGGAUCAAAGGUGUGAUUCCGCCGAGGGAGGGGCUCGCGUUCUAUUAGCUAGUUGGUAGGGUAAUGGCCUACCAAGGCGACGAUGGAUACCGGGUGUGAGAGCAUGACCCGGCUCACUGGGACUGAGACACUGCCCAGACACCUACGGGUGGCUGCAGUCGAGAAUCUUCGGCAAUGGGCGCAAGCCUGACCGAGCGACGCCGCGUGCGGGAUGAAGGCCUUCGGGUUGUAAACCGCUGUCGUAGAGGAGGAAAUGCCAUGGGGUUCUCUCCAUGGUUUGACCUAUUCUAGGAGGAAGGACGGGCUAAGUUCGUGCCAGCAGCCGCAGUAA
RNAcentral lists this ribosomal RNA (480 nucleotides) under uncultured bacterium. Its description in RNAcentral is "partial 16S ribosomal RNA". It matches the Rfam family "Bacterial small subunit ribosomal RNA", at positions 28 to 523 of the family's 1533-position model. The record is from RNAcentral.